RNAcentral lists this ribosomal RNA (587 nucleotides) under uncultured bacterium. RNAcentral describes it as "bacterial SSU rRNA". It matches the Rfam family "Bacterial small subunit ribosomal RNA", at positions 338 to 916 of the family's 1533-position model. The record is from RNAcentral.
CCUACGGGAGGCAGCAGUGGGGAAUUUUGGACAAUGGGCGAAAGCCUGAUCCAGCAAUGCCGCGUGAGUGAAGAAGGCCUUCGGGUUGUAAAGCUCUUUUGUCAGGGAAGAAACGGUGAGAGCUAAUAUCUCUUGCUAAUGACGGUACCUGAAGAAUAAGCACCGGCUAACUACGUGCCAGCAGCCGCGGUAAUACGUAGGGUGCAAGCGUUAAUCGGAAUUACUGGGCGUAAAGCGUGCGCAGGCGGUUUUGUAAGUCUGAUGUGAAAUCCCCGGGCUCAACCUGGGAAUUGCAUUGGAGACUGCAAGGCUAGAAUCUGGCAGAGGGGGGUAGAAUUCCACGUGUAGCAGUGAAAUGCGUAGAUAUGUGGAGGAACACCGAUGGCGAAGGCAGCCCCCUGGGUCAAGAUUGACGCUCAUGCACGAAAGCGUGGGGAGCAAACAGGAUUAGAUACCCUGGUAGUCCACGCCCUAAACGAUGUCUACUAGUUGUCGGGUCUUAAUUGACUUGGUAACGCAGCUAACGCGUGAAGUAGACCGCCUGGGGAGUACGGUCGCAAGAUUAAAACUCAAAAUGAAAUUGACGG